RNAcentral lists this transfer RNA (87 nucleotides) under Candidatus Ryanbacteria bacterium RIFCSPLOWO2_02_FULL_47_14. Its description in RNAcentral is "tRNA-Leu". The record is from RNAcentral. RNAcentral also lists the same sequence under 1 other name. Lineage: Bacteria; Candidatus Ryaniibacteriota.
GCGCGGGUGGCGAAACUAGAAGACGCACCAGCUUGAGGGGCUGGCGCCCGCAAGGGCGUGCAGGUGCAAGUCCUGUCCCGCGCACAA